Long non-coding RNA from Brassica napus (rape), 625 nucleotides. RefSeq lists it as uncharacterized. The transcript has 2 exons. The record is from RefSeq and is a predicted model, not a curated record. NCBI's taxonomy places the organism in Eukaryota, Viridiplantae, Streptophyta, Magnoliopsida, Brassicales, Brassicaceae.
AUAUAUUAAUAUUUACUAAUGAGUAUAUAUUUAUAUUUAUUUAUAUAUAAGUUUUUAAUUUUGUGAGAGAUAGUUGGAUAAGGACUCACAGUCAUAGAAUUUUGGUGCGAAAUUUUGUUGCUCAAAUCUCAUGGAUGGGCGAGCUGUCCGAGAAAAAGGAAGAAGAUCGAGCAAUUAACUUGCUGGCUUGAAAAAAAUUUUUCUUAUAAAAACAUGCCGUCUCCUCGGGGAAAUAUUUAAUUUAGCUUUGACCUACUGAGAGCUAAACUUCGGACAUGUGCAUCGGGAGCUUUUAGCAGUUUCUUAAGGGGAGGGGGGAAGACCACAAAAACAUAAAAAUCGGUAACCAAAAGCGCCAGUUAAGGAUCAAUGUUUGAGUGAUCCUUGUUUCUUUUCUGUUAAAAAGUAAUGACAGAUCAUGAAAGCUGGAUCGUUGUUGUUUGCUUUUUCUCCUUUACGUGUUGUGUCUUUAAGGAUGAUCACUAUCAUCAUGAGACCAAUUAUUUUAUUGGAAUAAUUUUCGUUCAUUCUUUAAAAAGAAAAUGUGAGUUCACAUUCUUUUUAAAGAAAAUGUAAUUUUCGUUCAUUUGCGUUCAUUCUUUAAAAAGAAAAUGUUUGUACUUCA